GCCGCGGUAGCUCAGUUGGGAGAGCGGCAGACUGAAGAUCUGCAGGCCGCUGGUUCAAGUCCGGCCCGCGGCA
This 73-nucleotide transfer RNA is filed under the name Thermoplasmata archaeon. Its description in RNAcentral is "tRNA-Phe". It matches the Rfam family "tRNA". Rfam says of the family: Transfer RNA (tRNA) molecules are approximately 80 nucleotides in length. RNAcentral also lists the same sequence under 1 other name. Lineage: Archaea; Methanobacteriati; Thermoplasmatota; Thermoplasmata. The record is from RNAcentral.